AUUGAACGCUGGCGGCAUGCCUUACACAUGCAAGUCGAACGGCAGCACGGGUGCUUGCACCUGGUGGCGAGUGGCGAACGGGUGAGUAAUACAUCGGAACGUACCUUAUCGUGGGGGAUAACGCAGCGAAAGCUGUGCUAAUACCGCAUACGCCCUGAGGGGGAAAGCGGGGGAUCGAAAGACCUCGCGCGAUUAGAGCGGCCGAUGCCUGAUUAGCUUGUUGGUGGGGUAAAAGCCCACCAAGGCGACGAUCAGUAGCUGGUCUGAGAGGACGAUCAGCCACACUGGGACUGGGACACGGCCCAGACUCCUACGGGAGGCAGCAGUGGGGAAUUUUGGACAAUGGGGGCAACCCUGAUCCAGCAAUGCCGUGUGAGUGAAGAAGGCCUUCGGGUUGUAAAGCUCUUUUGUCAGGGAAGAAACACCGGCUCUAACACAGUCCGGGAAUGACGGUACCUGAAGAAUAAGCACCGGCUAACUACGUGCCAGCCGCCGCAGUAA
RNAcentral lists this ribosomal RNA (501 nucleotides) under uncultured bacterium. RNAcentral describes it as "partial 16S ribosomal RNA". It matches the Rfam family "Bacterial small subunit ribosomal RNA", at positions 30 to 523 of the family's 1533-position model. The record is from RNAcentral.